Molecule: long non-coding RNA, 1932 nt
Organism: Papio anubis (olive baboon)
Lineage: Eukaryota; Metazoa; Chordata; Mammalia; Primates; Cercopithecidae
Source: Ensembl
AUGGGGUUUCACCAUGUUGCCCAGGCUUAUCUCAAACUCCUGGGUUUAAGUAGUCCUCCUUCCACCUCGGUCACCCAAAGUGUUGGGAUUACAGGUGUGAGCCACCAUGCCUGGCCAACUUCAGCUUUUAAUUCUUACCAAUCUGAGAAUGAUGGUUUCCAGCUGCAUCCAUGUCCCUACAAAGGACACAAACUCAUCCUUUUUUAUGGCUGCAUAGUAUUCCAUGGUGUAUAUGUGCCACAUUUUCUUAAUCCAGUCUGUCACUGAUGGACAUUUGGGUUGAUUCCAAGUCUUUGCUAUUGUGAAUAGUGCCGCAAUAAGCAUACGUGUGCAUGUGUCUUUAUAGCAGCAUGAUUUAUAAUCCUUUGGGUAUAUCCCCAGUAAUGGGAUGGCUGGGUCAAAUGGUAUUUCUACUUCUAGAUCCUUGAGGAAUCACCACACUGUUUUCCACAAUGGUUGAACUAGUUUAUAGUCCCACCAACACUGUAAAAGUAUUCCUAUUUCUCCACAUCCUCUUCAGCACCUGUUGUUUCCUGAUCUUUUAGUGAUUGCCAUUCUAACUGGUGUGAGAUGGUAUCUCAUUGUGGUUUUAAUUUGCAUUUCUCUGAUGACGAGUGAUGAUAAGCAUUUUUUCAUGUGUCUGUUGGCUGUAUGAAUGUCUUCUUUUGAGAAGUGUCUGUUCAUAUCCUUUGCCCACUUUUUGAUGGGGUUGUUUUUUUUCUUCUAAAUUUGAUUGAGCUCUUUAUAGGUUCUGGAUAUUAGCCCUUUGUCAGAUGAGUAGAUUGCAAACAUUUUCUCCCAUUCUGUUGGUUGCCAGUUCACUCUGAUGGUAGUUUCUUUUGCUGUGCAGAAGCUCUUUAGUUUAAUUAGAUCCCAUUUGUCAAUUUUGGCUUUUGUUGCUGUUGCUUUUGGUGUUUUAGACAUGAAGUGCUUGCCCAUGCCUAUGUCCUGAAUGGUAUUACCUAGGUUUUCUUCUAGGGUUUUUAUGGUAUUAAGUCAAACAUUUAAGUCUCUAAUCCAUCUUGAGUUAAUUUUCCUAUAAGGAGUAAGGAAAGGAUCCAGUUUCAGCUUUCUACUUAUGGCUAGCCAAUUUUCUCAGCACCAUUUAUUAAAUAGGGAAUCCUUUCCCCAUUUCUGGUUUUUGUCAGGAUCGUCAAAGAUCAGAUGACUGUAGAUGUGUGGUGUUAUUUCUGAGUGGUCUAUUCUGUUCCAUUGGUCUAUAUCUCUGUUUUGGUACCAGUACCAUGCUGUUUUGGUUACUGUAGCCUUGUAGUAUAGUUUGAAGUCAGGUAGCAUGAUGCCUCCAACUUUGUUCUUUUGGCUUAGGACUGUCUUGGCAAUGCGGGCUCUUUUUUGGUUCCAUAUGAACUUUUAAGCAGUUUUUUCCAAUUAUGUAAAGAAAGUCAUUGGUAGCUUAAUGGGAUGGCAUUGAAUCUAUAAAUUACCUUGGGCAGUAUAGCCAUUUUCACAAUAUUGAUUCUUCCUAUCCAUGAGCAUGGUAUGUUCUUCCAUUUGUUUGUGUCCUCUUUUAUUUCACUGAGCAGUGGUGUGUAGAGGGAAAUUUAUAGCACUAAAUGCCAACAAGAGAAAGCAGGAAAGAUCUAAAAUUGACACCCUAGCAUCACAAUUAAAAGAACUAGAGAAGCAAGAGCAAACACAUUCAAAAGCUAGCAGAAGGCAAGAAACAACUAAGAUCAGAGCAGAACUGAAGGAGAUACAGACACAAAAGACCCUCCAAAAAGAUCAAUGAAUCCAGGAGCUGGUUUUUUGAAAAGAUCAACAAAAUUGAUAGACUGCCAGCAAGAGUAAUAAAGAAGAAAAAAGAGAAGAAUCAAAUAGAUGCAAUAAAAAAAUGAUAAAGGGGAUAUCACCACCGACCCCACAGAAAUACAACGACAAUCAGAGAAUACUAUAAACACCUCUACGCAAAUA